RNAcentral lists this ribosomal RNA (460 nucleotides) under Bacillus licheniformis. RNAcentral describes it as "bacterial SSU rRNA". It matches the Rfam family "Bacterial small subunit ribosomal RNA", at positions 975 to 1436 of the family's 1533-position model. The record is from RNAcentral. Lineage: Bacteria; Bacillati; Bacillota; Bacilli; Caryophanales; Bacillaceae.
CAGGUCUUGACAUCCUCUGACAACCCUAGAGAUAGGGCUUCCCCUUCGGGGGCAGAGUGACAGGUGGUGCAUGGUUGUCGUCAGCUCGUGUCGUGAGAUGUUGGGUUAAGUCCCGCAACGAGCGCAACCCUUGAUCUUAGUUGCCAGCAUUCAGUUGGGCACUCUAAGGUGACUGCCGGUGACAAACCGGAGGAAGGUGGGGAUGACGUCAAAUCAUCAUGCCCCUUAUGACCUGGGCUACACACGUGCUACAAUGGGCAGAACAAAGGGCAGCGAAGCCGCGAGGCUAAGCCAAUCCCACAAAUCUGUUCUCAGUUCGGAUCGCAGUCUGCAACUCGACUGCGUGAAGCUGGAAUCGCUAGUAAUCGCGGAUCAGCAUGCCGCGGUGAAUACGUUCCCGGGCCUUGUACACACCGCCCGUCACACCACGAGAGUUUGUAACACCCGAAGUCGGUGAGGU